CCUACGGGAGGCAGCAGUGAGGAAUAUUGGUCAAUGGGCGCGAGCCUGAACCAGCCAAGUAGCGUGAAGGAUGACUGCCCUACGGGUUGUAAACUUCUUUUCUCAGGGACGAAGCAAGUGACGGUACCUGAGGAAUAAGCCACGGCUAACUACGUGCCAGCAGCCGCGGUAAUACGUAGGUGGCAAGCGUUAUCCGGAUUUACUGGGUGUAAAGGGCGUGUAGGCGGGAAAGCAAGUCAGAUGUGAAAACCAUGGGCUCAACCUGUGGCCUGCAUUUGAAACUGUUUGUCUUGAGUACUGGAGAGGCAGACGGAAUUCCUAGUGUAGCGGUGAAAUGCGUAGAUAUUAGGAGGAACACCAGUGGCGAAGGCGGUCUGCUGGACAGCAACUGACGCUGAGGCGCGAAAGCGUGGGGAGCAAACAGGAUUAGAUACCCUAGUAGUC
RNAcentral lists this ribosomal RNA (444 nucleotides) under uncultured bacterium. Its description in RNAcentral is "partial 16S ribosomal RNA". It matches the Rfam family "Bacterial small subunit ribosomal RNA", at positions 338 to 795 of the family's 1533-position model. The record is from RNAcentral.